This 424-nucleotide ribosomal RNA is filed under the name uncultured bacterium. Its description in RNAcentral is "bacterial SSU rRNA". It matches the Rfam family "Bacterial small subunit ribosomal RNA", at positions 358 to 772 of the family's 1533-position model. The record is from RNAcentral.
GGAAUUGUUCACAAUGGGCGCAAGCCUGAUGACGCAACGCCGCGUGGGGGAUGAAGGUCUUCGGAUCGUAAACCCCUGUCGAAUGGGACGAAUAGCUUCCGGAUCAAUACCCCGGAGGAAUGACGGUACCGCUAAAGGAAGCCCCGGCUAACUCCGUGCCCGCAGCCGCGGUAAUACAGGGGGGGGCAAGCGUUGUUCGGAAUUACUGGGCGUAAAGGGCUCGUAGGCGGCCAACUAAGUCGGAUGUGAAAUCCCCAGGCUCAACCUGGGAACUGCAUCCGAUACUGGAUGGCUUGAAUCCGGGAGAGGGAUGCAGAAUUCCAGGUGUAGCGGUGAAAUGCGUAGAUAUCUGGAGGAAUACCGGUGGCGAAGGCGGCAUCCUGGACCGGCAUUGACGCUGAUGAGCGAAAGCCAGGGGAGCAAA